RNAcentral lists this ribosomal RNA (447 nucleotides) under uncultured bacterium. RNAcentral describes it as "partial 16S ribosomal RNA". It matches the Rfam family "Bacterial small subunit ribosomal RNA", at positions 29 to 523 of the family's 1533-position model. The record is from RNAcentral.
AACGAACGCUGGCGGCAGGCUUAACACAUGCAAGUCGAGCGCCCCGCAAGGGGAGCGGCAGACGGGUGAGUAACGCGUGGGAAUCUACCCAUCACUACGGGACAACUCCGGGAAACUGGAGCUAAUACCGUAUACGCCCUUCGGGAGAAAGAUUUAUCGGUGAUGGAUGAGCCCGCGUUGGAUUAGCUAGUUGGUGGGGUAAUGGCCCACCAAGGCGACGAUCCAUAGCUGGUCUGAGAGGAUGAUCAGCCACACUGGGACUGAGACACGGCCCAGACUCCUACGGGAGGCAGCAGUGGGGAAUAUUGGACAAUGGGCGCAAGCCUAAUCCAGCCAUGCCGCGUGAGUGAUGAAGGCCCUAGGGUUGUAAAGCUCUUUCACCGGUGAAGAUAAUGACGGUAACCGGAGAAGAAGCCCCGGCUAACUUCGUGCCAGCCGCCGCGGUAA